Molecule: microRNA precursor, 58 nt
Filed under: Euprymna scolopes
Lineage: Eukaryota; Metazoa; Mollusca; Cephalopoda; Sepiida; Sepiolidae
Description: Esc-Mir-22-P1_pre stem-loop
Source: RNAcentral
CGGUUCCUCUUCAGGCUGCCUUGCUACUUAGAUCAAGCUGCCUGAUGAAGAGCUGUCC